GCGAGAGUGGUGAAACUGGCAUACACGCUAGACUUAGGAUCUAGUGCUUCGGCUUGAGGGUUCAAGUCCCUCCUCUCGCA
This 80-nucleotide transfer RNA is filed under the name Treponema sp. RNAcentral describes it as "tRNA-Leu". It matches the Rfam family "tRNA". From Rfam's summary of the family: Transfer RNA (tRNA) molecules are approximately 80 nucleotides in length. Their secondary structure includes four short double-helical elements and three loops (D, anti-codon, and T loops). RNAcentral also lists the same sequence under 3 other names. Lineage: Bacteria; Pseudomonadati; Spirochaetota; Spirochaetia; Treponematales; Treponemataceae. The record is from RNAcentral.